AGAGUUUGAUCCUGGCUCAGGAUGAACGCCGGCGGUGUGCCUAAUACAUGCAAGUCGUACGCACUGGCCCAACUGAUUGAUGGUGCUUGCACCUGAUUGACGAUGGAUUACCAGUGAGUGGCGGACGGGUGAGUAACACGUAGGUAACCUGCCCCGGAGCGGGGGAUAACAUUUGGAAACAGAUGCUAAUACCGCAUAACAACAAAAGCCACAUGGCUUUUGUUUGAAAGAUGGCUUUGGCUAUCACUCUGGGAUGGACCUGCGGUGCAUUAGCUAGUUGGUAAGGUAACGGCUUACCAAGGCGAUGAUGCAUAGCCGAGUUGAGAGACUGAUCGGCCACAAUGGAACUGAGACACGGUCCAUACUCCUACGGGAGGCAGCAGUAGGGAAUCUUCCACAAUGGGCGCAAGCCUGAUGGAGCAACACCGCGUGAGUGAAGAAGGGUUUCGGCUCGUAAAGCUCUGUUGUUGGAGAAGAACGUGCGUGAGAGUAACUGUUCACGCAGUGACGGUAUCCAACCAGAAAGUCACGGCUAACUACGUG
This 543-nucleotide ribosomal RNA is filed under the name Limosilactobacillus reuteri. RNAcentral describes it as "bacterial SSU rRNA". It matches the Rfam family "Bacterial small subunit ribosomal RNA", at positions 8 to 507 of the family's 1533-position model. Lineage: Bacteria; Bacillati; Bacillota; Bacilli; Lactobacillales; Lactobacillaceae. The record is from RNAcentral.